Molecule: ribosomal RNA, 1537 nt
Filed under: Escherichia coli
Lineage: Bacteria; Pseudomonadati; Pseudomonadota; Gammaproteobacteria; Enterobacterales; Enterobacteriaceae
Description: partial 23S ribosomal RNA
Rfam family: Bacterial large subunit ribosomal RNA
Source: RNAcentral
CCCGUACACAAAAAUGCACAUACUGUGAGCUCGAUGAGUAGGGCGGGACACGUGGUAUCCUGUCUGAAUAUGGGGGGACCAUCCUCCAAGGCUAAAUACUCCUGACUGACCGAUAGUGAACCAGUACCGUGAGGGAAAGGCGAAAAGAACCCCGGCGAGGGGAGUGAAAAAGAACCUGAAACCGUGUACGUACAAGCAGUGGGAGCCUCUUUAUGGGGUGACUGCGUACCUUUUGUAUAAUGGGUCAGCGACUUAUAUUCUGUAGCAAGGUUAACCGAAUAGGGGAGCCGAAGGGAAACCGAGUCUUAACUGGGCGUUAAGUUGCAGGGUAUAGACCCGAAACCCGGUGAUCUAGCCAUGGGCAGGUUGAAGGUUGGGUAACACUAACUGGAGGACCGAACCGACUAAUGUUGAAAAAUUAGCGGAUGACUUGUGGCUGGGGGUGAAAGGCCAAUCAAACCGGGAGAUAGCUGGUUCUCCCCGAAAGCUAUUUAGGUAGCGCCUCGUGAAUUCAUCUCCGGGGGUAGAGCACUGUUUCGGCAAGGGGGUCAUCCCGACUUACCAACCCGAUGCAAACUGCGAAUACCGGAGAAUGUUAUCACGGGAGACACACGGCGGGUGCUAACGUCCGUCGUGAAGAGGGAAACAACCCAGACCGCCAGCUAAGGUCCCAAAGUCAUGGUUAAGUGGGAAACGAUGUGGGAAGGCCCAGACAGCCAGGAUGUUGGCUUAGAAGCAGCCAUCAUUUAAAGAAAGCGUAAUAGCUCACUGGUCGAGUCGGCCUGCGCGGAAGAUGUAACGGGGCUAAACCAUGCACCGAAGCUGCGGCAGCGACACUAUGUGUUGUUGGGUAGGGGAGCGUUCUGUAAGCCUGCGAAGGUGGCCUGUGAGGGUUGCUGGAGGUAUCAGAAGUGCGAAUGCUGACAUAAGUAACGAUAAAGCGGGUGAAAAGCCCGCUCGCCGGAAGACCAAGGGUUCCUGUCCAACGUUAAUCGGGGCAGGGUGAGUCGACCCCUAAGGCGAGGCCGAAAGGCGUAGUCGAUGGGAAACAGGUUAAUAUUCCUGUACUUGGUGUUACUGCGAAGGGGGGACGGAGAAGGCUAUGUUGGCCGGGCGACGGUUGUCCCGGUUUAAGCGUGUAGGCUGGUUUUCCAGGCAAAUCCGGAAAAUCAAGGCUGAGGCGUGAUGACGAGGCACUACGGUGCUGAAGCAACAAAUGCCCUGCUUCCAGGAAAAGCCUCUAAGCAUCAGGUAACAUCAAAUCGUACCCCAAACCGACACAGGUGGUCAGGUAGAGAAUACCAAGGCGCUUGAGAGAACUCGGGUGAAGGAACUAGGCAAAAUGGUGCCGUAACUUCGGGAGAAGGCACGCUGAUAUGUAGGUGAAGUCCCUCGCGGAUGGAGCUGAAAUCAGUCGAAGAUACCAGCUGGCUGCAACUGUUUAUUAAAAACACAGCACUGUGCAAACACGAAAGUGGACGUAUACGGUGUGACGCCUGCCCGGUGCCGGAAGGUUAAUUGAUGGGGUUAGCGGUAA